UAGAUAUUUUCUUUAAAUUUAAAGAAUUUGGCGGUGAUUUAGUCUAGUCAGAGGAACCUGCUUUUAUAUCGAUAUAACACGCAGAAUCUAACUUAUUUUUGUUUACAGUUUGUAUACCAUCAUUAGCAGAUAAUUUUUAAAGAAUAGAAUUAUUGUAAUUAAUUAUUUAAUAAAAUUAGAUCAAGGUGCAGCUUAUAAAUAAGUUAAAGUGGGUUACAAUAAGUUUUACUUAAACGAAAUAAAAUUAGAAUUUUUUUAAAGAAGGUGGAUUUGAUUGUAAUAUAAGUUUAAUAAGCUUAUAAGAUAAAAGCUCUAAGUUGUGUACAUAUCGCCCGUCACUCU
This 342-nucleotide ribosomal RNA is filed under the name Acanthothelphusa lirrangensis. RNAcentral's name for it is "Potamonautes lirrangensis partial 12S ribosomal RNA". The record is from RNAcentral. Lineage: Eukaryota; Metazoa; Arthropoda; Malacostraca; Decapoda; Potamonautidae.